This 254-nucleotide ribosomal RNA is filed under the name uncultured bacterium. Its description in RNAcentral is "partial 16S ribosomal RNA". It matches the Rfam family "Bacterial small subunit ribosomal RNA", at positions 524 to 776 of the family's 1533-position model. The record is from RNAcentral.
UACGAAGGGGGCUAGCGUUGCUCGGAAUCACUGGGCGUAAAGGGUGCGUAGGCGGGUCUUUAAGUCAGGGGUGAAAUCCUGGAGCUCAACUCCAGAACUGCCUUUGAUACUGAGGAUCUUGAGUUCGGGAGAGGUGAGUGGAACUGCGAGUUGUAGAGGUGAAAUUCGUAGAUAUUCGCAAGAACACCAGUGGCGAAGGCGGCUCACUGGCCCGGUACUGACGCUGAGGUGCGAAAGCGUGGGGAGCAAACAGG